GACGAACGCUGGCGGCGUGCCUAAUACAUGCAAGUCGAGCGGACCAAAGGGAGCUUGCUCCUGGAGGUUAGCGGCGAACGGGUGAGUAACACGUGGGCAACCUGCCUGUAAGACUGGGAUAACAUCGAGAAAUCGGUGCUAAUACCGGAUAAUAAAAAGAACUGCAUGGUUCUUUUUUGAAAGAUGGUUUCGGCUAUCACUUACAGAUGGGCCCGCGGCGCAUUAGCUAGUUGGUGGGGUAACGGCUCACCAAGGCGACGAUGCGUAGCCGACCUGAGAGGGUGAUCGGCCACACUGGGACUGAGACACGGCCCAGACUCCUACGGGAGGCAGCAGUAGGGAAUCUUCCGCAAUGGACGAAAGUCUGACGGAGCAACGCCGCGUGAGUGAUGAAGGUUUUCGGAUCGUAAAACUCUGUUGUUAGGGAAGAAUAAGUGCCGUUCGAAAGGGCGGCACCUUGACGGUACCUAACGAGAAAGCCACGGCUAACUACGUGCCAGCAGCCGCGGUAA
Molecule: ribosomal RNA, 512 nt
Filed under: uncultured bacterium
Lineage: Bacteria
Description: bacterial SSU rRNA
Rfam family: Bacterial small subunit ribosomal RNA
Source: RNAcentral